UAUGGUAGAAUAUUUUUUAUUAAACAUUUUAUAUUGAUUUUUCGACUGAAAAUCUGUUUUUCUUUUUUUAAUUUAGUCUUCUCAUCAUCAUUGCUGAACGUUUUAAUGAGUAAUUAUAACCUCUCCAUGCGUGCCAGUUGAUUCCAUCAGCAUUAGAAGAAUGUUUACCGGAAAGGUAAAGUCCAUUCAGAUUAGCACUAUGACAAGCGCCAUACCACCACCCUCCUUUGUAUUUUGUUGCGCAAUUGUCAGAAGAAACAUCAUUAUCCUGGUCUUUUGUAGAGAAUUUUUUGUCAUGAUGAUGAGGGGACAGAGAAUUUCCUGUAAACCAAAAGACAAGAACUAUUUGACGAUAUUGCAAAAAAAAGAAUAAGUUAAACUAUCGGUUUGUAUUAGUGUUCGUGUAAACAACGCAAGACAUGUAUCAUGUAUAUGUGCUUUUGGAUUCAGUACAACCCUACGAGGUUUAUUUAAUUUAUAAAUCCAAGUUCAGUAAAUACGUCUUGCAGAUUUUUUUCACCCAAAGUUAUCAAAUUAAAAC
Molecule: long non-coding RNA, 541 nt
Filed under: Mytilus galloprovincialis (Mediterranean mussel)
Lineage: Eukaryota; Metazoa; Mollusca; Bivalvia; Mytilida; Mytilidae
Source: RNAcentral